This 707-nucleotide ribosomal RNA is filed under the name uncultured archaeon. RNAcentral's name for it is "bacterial SSU rRNA". It matches the Rfam family "Archaeal small subunit ribosomal RNA", at positions 213 to 922 of the family's 1478-position model. The record is from RNAcentral.
GCCUGCGUCCGAUUAGGUUGUUGGUGGGGUAAUGGCCCACCAAGCCUGCGAUCGGUACGGGCAGUGAGAGCUGAAGCCCGGAGUUGGGGACUGAGACAAGGCCCCAGGCCCUACGGGGCGCAGCAGGCGCGAAACCUCUGCAAUGCGGGAAACCGUGACAGGGGGAUCCCAAGUGCUCAUGCAUUGCAUGGGCUGUUCUUUGGUCUAAGUAACCAGAGGAGUAAGGGCUGGGCAAGACCGGUGCCAGCCGCCGCGGUAAUACCGGCAGCUCAAGUGGUAGCCGCGAUUAUUGGGCCUAAAACGUUCGUAGCCGGAUAAGUAAGUCUUUGGUUAAAUCCUGCGACUCAACCGUGGGAAUUCUAGAGAUACUGCUUGUCUUGAGACCGGGAGAGGUUGGAGGUACUCCUAGGGUAGGGGUGAAAUCCUGUAAUCCUAGGGGGACCACCUGUGGCGAAGACGUCCAACUGGAACGGGUCUGACGGUGAGGGACGAAACCUAGGGGAGCGAGCCGGAUUAGAUACCCGGGUAGUCCUAGGCGUAAAUGAUGCGAGUUAAGUGUGGGGGCAUCUACGAGAUGGCCCUGUGCUGUAGGGUAGCCGUUAAACUCGCUGCCUGGGGAGUACGGUCGCAAGGCUGAAACUUAAAGGAAUUGGCGGGGGAGCACCACAAGAGGUGGAGGCUGCGGUUCAAUUGGAUUCAACGCCGGG